RNAcentral lists this ribosomal RNA (497 nucleotides) under uncultured bacterium. Its description in RNAcentral is "partial 16S ribosomal RNA". It matches the Rfam family "Bacterial small subunit ribosomal RNA", at positions 28 to 507 of the family's 1533-position model. The record is from RNAcentral.
GAUGAACGCUGGCGGCGUGCCUAAUACAUGCAAGUCGAGCGAACGGACGAGAAGCUUGCUUCUCUGAUGUUAGCGGCGGACGGGUGAGUAACACGUGGAUAACCUACCUAUAAGACUGGGAUAACUUCGGGAAACCGGAGCUAAUACCGGAUAAUAUUUUGAACCGCAUGGUUCAAAAGUGAAAGACGGUCUUGCUGUCACUUAUAGAUGGAUCCGCGCUGCAUUAGCUAGUUGGUAAGGUAACGGCUUACCAAGGCAACGAUGCAUAGCCGACCUGAGAGGGUGAUCGGCCCCACUGGAACUGGGACACGGUCCAGACUCCUACGGGAGGCAGCAGUAGGGAAUCUUCCGCAAUGGGCGAAAGCCUGACGGAGCAACGCCGCGUGAGUGAUGAAGGUCUUCGGAUCGUAAAACUCUGUUAUUAGGGAAGAACAUAUGUGUAAGUAACUGUGCACAUCUUGACGGUACCUAAUCAGAAAGCCACGGCUAACUACGUG